This 497-nucleotide ribosomal RNA is filed under the name uncultured bacterium. RNAcentral describes it as "partial 16S ribosomal RNA". It matches the Rfam family "Bacterial small subunit ribosomal RNA", at positions 28 to 507 of the family's 1533-position model. The record is from RNAcentral.
GAUGAACGCUGGCGGCGUGCCUAAUACAUGCAAGUCGAGCGAACAGACGAGGAGCUUGCUCCUCUGACGUUAGCGGCGGACGGGUGAGUAACACGUGGAUAACCUACCUAUAAGACUCGGAUAACUUCGGGAAACCGGAGCUAAUACCGGAUAAUAUAAUGAACCGCAUGGUUCAAUAGUGAAAGACGGUUUUGCUGUCACUUAUAGAUGGAUCCGCGCCGCAUUAGCUAGUUGGUAAGGUAACGGCUUACCAAGGCAACGAUGCGUAGCCGACCUGAGAGGGUGAUCGGCCACACUGGAACUGAGACACGGUCCAGACUCCUACGGGAGGCAGCAGUAGGGAAUCUUCCGCAAUGGGCGAAAGCCUGACGGAGCAACGCCGCGUGAGUGAUGAAGGUCUUCGGAUCGUAAAACUCUGUUAUUAGGGAAGAACAAAUGUGUAAGUAACUAUGCACGUCUUGACGGUACCUAAUCAGAAAGCCACGGCUAACUACGUG